Molecule: ribosomal RNA, 1414 nt
Filed under: uncultured organism
Description: partial small subunit ribosomal RNA
Rfam family: Bacterial small subunit ribosomal RNA
Source: RNAcentral
AGGCUUAACACAUGCAAGUUGAACGGGAACAUACGAUAGCUUGCUAUAGUAUGUGAGAGUGGCGCACGGGUGAGUAAUACAUGGGAACAUACCUUAAAGUGGGGGAUAACUUCUGGAAACGGAUGCUAAUACCGCAUAUACCCUGAGGGGGAAAGAUUUAUCGCUUUAAGAUUGGCCCAUGGCAGAUUAGGUAGUUGGUGGGGUAAAGGCCUACCAAGCCGACGAUCUGUAGCUGGUCUGAGAGGACGAUCAGUCACAUUGGGACUGAGACACGGCCCAGACUCCUACGGGAGGCAGCAGUGAGGAAUAUUGGGCAAUGGGGGCAACCCUGACCCAGCCAUGCCGCGUGAGUGAAGAAGGUUUUCGAAUUGUAAAGCUCUUUCGGAUGUGACGAUGAUGACGGUAGCAUCUAAAGAAGCCCCGGCAAACUUCGUGCCAGCAGCCGCGGUAAUACGAAGGGGGCGAGCGUUGUUCGGAAUUACUGGGCGUAAAGGGUGUGUAGGUGGACGUGUAAGAUAGCGGUGAAAUGCCGGAGCUCAACUUCGGAAUUGCCAUUAUAACUAUGCGUCUAGAAUUAUAGAGAGGAUAGCGGAAUACCCAGUGUAGAGGUGAAAUUCGUAGAUAUUGGGUAGAACACCAGUGGCGAAGGCGGCUAUCUGGCUAUAUAUUGACACUGAGGCACGAAAGCAUGGGGAUCAAACAGGAUUAGAUACCCUGGUAGUCCAUGCCGUAAACGAUGAAUGCUAGGUGUCGGAGGGGAACCUUCGGUGCCGGAGCAAACGCAAUAAGCACUCCACCUGGGGAGUACGAUCGCAAGAUUGAAACUCAAAGGAAUUGACGGGGGCCCGCACAAGCGGUGGAGCAUGUGGUUUAAUUCGAAGCAACGCGAAGAACCUUACCAAGGCUUGACAUCCCUCUGACGUAUGCAGAGAUGUGUAUUUUCUUCGGAACAGAGGAGACAGGUGGUGCAUGGUUGUCGUCAGCUCGUGUCGUGAGAUGUUGGGUUAAGUCCCGCAACGAGCGCAACCCUUAUCUUUAGUAGCCAGCAUUAAGGUGGGCACUCUAAAGAGACUGCCGUGGAUAACACGGAGGAAGGUGGGGAUGACGUCAAAUCAUCAUGCCCCUUAUGUCUUGGGCAACACACGUGCUACAAUGGACGGAACAAAGUGAGGCAAAGCCGCGAGGUGGAGCGAAGCACAAAAACCCGUUCUCAGUUCGGAUUGUAGUCUGCAACUCGACUACAUGAAGCUGGAAUCGCUAGUAAUCGCGAAUCAGAAUGUCGCGGUGAAUACGUUCCCGGGCCUUGUACACACCGCCCGUCACACCAUGGGAGUUGGAAGCACCCGAAGCCUGUGACCCAACCCGAAAGGGAGGGAGCAGUCGAAGGUGAAGCCAGUGACUGGGGUGAAGUAGU